CUACGGGACGCAGCAGUGGGGAAUAUUGCACAAUGGAGGAAACUCUGAUGCGGCAACGCCGCGUGGAGGAUGACACUUUUCGGAGCGUAAACUCCUUUUAUAUAGGAAGAAGAUGACGGUACUAUAUGAAUAAGCGCCGGCUAACUCCGUGCCAGCAGCCGCGGUAAUACGGAGGGCGCAAGCGUUACUCGGAAUCACUGGGCGUAAAGAGCGUGUAGGCGGAUUAAAAAGUCAGAAGUGAAAUCCUAUAGCUUAACUAUAGAACUGCUUCUGAAACUCUUAAUCUAGAAUAUGGGAGAGGUAGAUGGAAUUUCUGGUGUAGGGGUAAAAUCCGUAGAGAUCAGAAGGAAUACCGAUUGCGAAGGCGAUCUACUAGAACAUUAUUGACGCUGAGACGCGAAGGCGUGGGGAGCAAACAGGAUUAGAUACCCUAGUAGUC
Molecule: ribosomal RNA, 439 nt
Filed under: uncultured bacterium
Lineage: Bacteria
Description: partial 16S ribosomal RNA
Rfam family: Bacterial small subunit ribosomal RNA
Source: RNAcentral